RNAcentral lists this unclassified non-coding RNA (279 nucleotides) under Glomus sp. Its description in RNAcentral is "partial contains 5.8S ribosomal RNA and internal transcribed spacer 2". The stretch from base 1 to 72 matches the Rfam family "5.8S ribosomal RNA", at positions 84 to 154 of the family's 154-position model. The record is from RNAcentral. Lineage: Eukaryota; Fungi; Glomeromycota; Glomeromycetes; Glomerales; Glomeraceae.
GUGAAUCAUCAAAUCUUUGAACGCAAAUUGCACUAUCCGGUUUUCCGGGAGAGUAUGCCUGUUUGAGGGUCAGCCUAAAAAAAAUCGACAUAGUUGCUGUUACGCGGUAACAUUCGUCGGAAAUUGGGUCAUCUUAAACCUUUGGGUUUAAGCGGCUUAAAAUUUUCUUUACGAUUCUAAGAACGUUUCUAAGAUUUUAUUUUUUUAUACGUUUAAGGUAUCGAUCUUUAUGAGACGUGGCCGUUGCAUCGGAUCUCGUCAAUAAAUAUUUCGUUAACG